Molecule: ribosomal RNA, 546 nt
Filed under: uncultured fungus
Lineage: Eukaryota; Fungi
Description: eukaryotic LSU rRNA
Rfam family: 5.8S ribosomal RNA (bases 234-387)
Source: RNAcentral
CUUGGUCAUUUAGAGGAAGUAAAAGUCGUAACAAGGUCUCCGUAGGUGAACCUGCGGAGGGAUCAUUACACAAAUAUGAAGGCGGGCUGGAACCUCUCGGGGUUACAGCCUUGCUGAAUUAUUCACCCUUGUCUUUUGCGUACUUCUUGUUUCCUUGGUGGGUUCGCCCACCACUAGGACAAACAUAAACCUUUUGUAAUUGCAAUCAGCGUCAGUAACAAAUUAAUAAUUACAACUUUCAACAACGGAUCUCUUGGUUCUGGCAUCGAUGAAGAACGCAGCGAAAUGCGAUAAGUAGUGUGAAUUGCAGAAUUCAGUGAAUCAUCGAAUCUUUGAACGCACAUUGCGCCCUUUGGUAUUCCAAAGGGCAUGCCUGUUCGAGCGUCAUUUGUACCCUCAAGCUUUGCUUGGUGUUGGGCGUCUUGUCUCUAGCUUUGCUGGAGACUCGCCUUAAAGUAAUUGGCAGCCGGCCUACUGGUUUCGGAGCGCAGUACAAGUCGCACUCUCUAUCAGCAAAGGUCUAGCAUCCAUUAAGCCUUUUUUUCA